GUCGCCUCCUAAAAGGUAACGGAGGCGCUCAAAGGUUCCCUCAGAAUGGUUGGAAAUCAUUCAUAGAGUGUAAAGGCAUAAGGGAGCUUGACUGCGAGACCUACAAGUCGAGCAGGGUCGAAAGACGGACUUAGUGAUCCGGUGGUUCCGCAUGGAAGGGCCAUCGCUCAACGGAUAAAAGCUACCCCGGGGAUAACAGGCUUAUCUCCCCCAAGAGUUCACAUCGACGGGGAGGUUUGGCACCUCGAUGUCGGCUCAUCGCAUCCUGGGGCUGUAGUCGGUCCCAAGGGUUGGGCUGUUCGCCCAUUAAAGCGGUACGCGAGCUGGGUUCAGAACGUCGUGAGACAGUUCGGUCCCUAUCCGUCGUGGGCGUAGGAAAUUUGAGAGGAGCUGUCCUUAGUACGAGAGGACCGGGAUGGACAUACCUCUGGUGUACCAGUUGUCGUGCCAACGGCAUAGCUGGGUAGCUAUGUGUGGACGGGAUAAGUGCUGAAAGCAUCUAAGCAUGAAGCCCCCCUCAAGAUGAGAUUUCCCAACUUCGGUUAUAAGAUCCCUCAAAGAUGAUGAGGUUAAUAGGUUC
RNAcentral lists this ribosomal RNA (580 nucleotides) under Staphylococcus aureus. RNAcentral describes it as "partial 23S ribosomal RNA". It matches the Rfam family "Bacterial large subunit ribosomal RNA", at positions 2282 to 2863 of the family's 2925-position model. Lineage: Bacteria; Bacillati; Bacillota; Bacilli; Caryophanales; Staphylococcaceae. The record is from RNAcentral.